This 720-nucleotide ribosomal RNA is filed under the name Triticum aestivum (bread wheat). RNAcentral describes it as "partial small subunit ribosomal RNA". Lineage: Eukaryota; Viridiplantae; Streptophyta; Magnoliopsida; Poales; Poaceae. The record is from RNAcentral.
AUGCCUCUUCGCGAUGGUGCGGUCGACUUUACGGCAUGGCACUUCGACUCCAAGGGUGUUUUCUCGGUCAGGCAAGCAUAUAAAUUGAAAAGAGCCCUGUCGAAAGCUGGAGAUGGAGGUGCUGGAGACCCCCAAGCUGAGGCUGGCAACCUGAAUGGGGGUGGGCAGGAGAAGUGGAAAAGAAUUUGGCGCAUGUCUUGUCCGGGGAAAAUCAAACACUUCAUGUGGAGGAUGACGCACAAUACCCUAGCAACCAAGGAUAUAUUAUGCAGAAGGGGCAUGACCAUUGAGGAUCACAAAUGCUUCCUGUGCAACUCUAGGAACGAAACGGGCAAACACCUCUUUGUGGAGUGCCGGGAGAUCAAGCACGUAUGGAGGGCUCUUAGCCUUGAGCAUGUCCGGCAGCAGCUAGUAGAGUGCGAGUCAGUGGGGGCGGCAAUGGACAUCCUCUGGCAUCUCACAGAGAAAGACCGAAUGUUGGUGGUUGUCAUGUGGUGGCAAUGGUGGUCGCAGCGAAACAAAGUGCGAGAAGGGGAGAAACCGAUGGAUCAUAGCCAGUUCGCAUGUAGGGCUGCAUGCACGAUGGAGGAAUUUCAGGGCUAUUUCAGCAAAAAUGCCAAACCCCAUGCAACACUCCAGCGUUGGCUCCCACCGCCUGUCGACGUACUCAAGCUCAAUGUCGAUGGAGCCCACAUCCCAGGCGCGCAGUCAGGUGCGUGA